This 72-nucleotide transfer RNA is filed under the name Lytechinus pictus (painted urchin). Its description in RNAcentral is "transfer RNA glutamine (anticodon CUG)". It matches the Rfam family "tRNA". From Rfam's summary of the family: Transfer RNA (tRNA) molecules are approximately 80 nucleotides in length. Their secondary structure includes four short double-helical elements and three loops (D, anti-codon, and T loops). Further hydrogen bonds mediate the characteristic L-shaped molecular structure. tRNAs have two regions of fundamental functional importance: the anti-codon, which is responsible for specific mRNA codon recognition, and the 3' end, to which the tRNAs corresponding amino acid is attached (by aminoacyl-tRNA synthetases). tRNAs cope with the degeneracy of the genetic code in two manners: having more than one tRNA (with a specific anti-codon) for a particular amino acid; and 'wobble' base-pairing, i.e. permitting non-standard base-pairing at the 3rd anti-codon position. The record is from RNAcentral. RNAcentral also lists the same sequence under 1 other name. Lineage: Eukaryota; Metazoa; Echinodermata; Echinoidea; Temnopleuroida; Toxopneustidae.
GGUCUUGUGGUGUAACGGUUAGCACCCAGGACUCUGAAUCCUGUGAUCCGAGUUCGAAUCUCGGCAAGACCU